ACCUACGGGGCGCAGCAGUAGGGAAUCUUCCACAAUGGGCGAAAGCCUGAUGGAGCAACGCCGCGUGGGUGAAGAAGGUCUUCGGAUCGUAAAACCCUGUUGUUAGAGAGGAAAGUGCGUGAGAGUAACUGUUCACGUUUCGACGGUAUCUAACCAGAAAGCCACGGCUAACUACGUGCCAGCAGCCGCGGUAAUACGUAGGUGGCAAGCGUUAUCCGGAUUUAUUGGGCGUAAAGAGAACGCAGGCGGUCUUUUAAGUCUUAUGUGAAAGCCUUCGGCUUAACCGGAGUAGUGCAUUGGAAACU
RNAcentral lists this ribosomal RNA (305 nucleotides) under uncultured bacterium. RNAcentral's name for it is "bacterial SSU rRNA". It matches the Rfam family "Bacterial small subunit ribosomal RNA", at positions 337 to 634 of the family's 1533-position model. The record is from RNAcentral.